Molecule: non-coding RNA, 72 nt
Organism: Xanthomonas fragariae
Lineage: Bacteria; Pseudomonadati; Pseudomonadota; Gammaproteobacteria; Lysobacterales; Lysobacteraceae
Source: Rfam
GUGUACCAGACGUGCACGUUGGUUCCCGCGCAGUCCACGCCAGCUGACGGCUGCCUGCUACGCCUGUCAGCC